Molecule: ribosomal RNA, 649 nt
Filed under: Escherichia coli
Lineage: Bacteria; Pseudomonadati; Pseudomonadota; Gammaproteobacteria; Enterobacterales; Enterobacteriaceae
Description: partial 23S ribosomal RNA
Rfam family: Bacterial large subunit ribosomal RNA
Source: RNAcentral
UGGUGGGUAGUUUGACUGGGGCGGUCUCCUCCUAAAGAGUAACGGAGGAGCACGAAGGUUGGCUAAUCCUGGUCGGACAUCAGGAGGUUAGUGCAAUGGCAUAAGCCAGCUUGACUGCGAGCGUGACGGCGCGAGCAGGUGCGAAAGCAGGUCAUAGUGAUCCGGUGGUUCUGAAUGGAAGGGCCAUCGCUCAACGGAUAAAAGGUACUCCGGGGAUAACAGGCUGAUACCGCCCAAGAGUUCAUAUCGACGGCGGUGUUUGGCACCUCGAUGUCGGCUCAUCACAUCCUGGGGCUGAAGUAGGUCCCAAGGGUAUGGCUGUUCGCCAUUUAAAGUGGUACGCGAGCUGGGUUUAGAACGUCGUGAGACAGUUCGGUCCCUAUCUGCCGUGGGCGCUGGAGAACUGAGGGGGGCUGCUCCUAGUACGAGAGGACCGGAGUGGACGCAUCACUGGUGUUCGGGUUGUCAUGCCAAUGGCACUGCCCGGUAGCUAAAUGCGGAAGAGAUAAGUGCUGAAAGCAUCUAAGCACGAAACUUGCCCCGAGAUGAGUUCUCCCUGACUCCUUGAGAGUCCUGAAGGAACGUUGAAGACGACGACGUUGAUAGGCCGGGUGUGUAAGCGCAGCGAUGCGUUGAGCUAACCGGUACU